AAACAACCAUCUUAAGUGAAAGCGAAUUCGAGAUGAGAGUCAUCCUAAUAAUCGGUGUGUUGUUUGCCUUGUGCGGCUGGGCAAACAGUCAGGCUUGCUCCUCAACGUGCCGUCCUAAAUUCGUGGAAGAUUGCCAAUGCGAAUUUAUCCCGGGGUCAUCAGGAACAAGGGGGACUUUACGAGUGUCGCACUGGUGUACGGAUUGGCCGGCAUGCGGCAGUCACUUCGUCUAAAGAUGGACCCUCGGAUCCGGAUGCCACAAGGAUUCCAAGGGAUGCUUCGAAUCCUUCCAAGUGAUACAGAAAUCAACAAAUUUGUUUAAUGCGUCCCCUUUUACUUCGUUUCUUGUAAAUCGACUUCUCCAAGAAAAUAAAUGCGUAUAUAUAGUU
This is a long non-coding RNA of Lineus longissimus, 389 nucleotides long. RefSeq lists it as uncharacterized. The transcript is spliced from 4 exons. Lineage: Eukaryota; Metazoa; Nemertea; Pilidiophora; Heteronemertea; Lineidae. The record is from RefSeq and is a predicted model, not a curated record.